ACACAGCACCCUCCUCACGGCGCGCACACCCACAUCGGCAUGCAUUCCGGUACCAGUCACCUUGGAGCUGGCCAAACUUGGGGAUCCAAAAAGCGGUCCUGCUUCCUAGCGGGUGUUGAGCUCUGCAGCGUCGUCCCCCACGAACCUCCCUGCCCCCUGCUCCUGAUUCCCUUUCAGGAAUUUACAAACAUUUUUCCCUAGAUCAAUAUCCGUAUUGAUUAUUCAUUGUGAGCGAGUCGUGUGUCUUUGGUGAUCCAGCUUGCAGAGGGUAGCAGCUAAAGACGGCUGCAGGGGGAGAAAAAUAACAGAAGGUGAGAAGGACCCAGCUCUGGCUGAGGUCUGCGGCUGUCACAUCACAGAGAGGAGGAGGAAGAAGAAGAGAAUGGUCCAGAAUGAAAGGAUGGAGAAGGGUGUAAAAGAAAGAGGACGCAACUGCAAGAAAGAAAGAUGUGAGGACUGCAUUGGUCUUAGGGAUCUCAAUGGCUUGGAGGAAAGCCCCAUCAACUUGGGUCUGCUGCUAGGUGCAAAAUGCCGAGCUGUUCCUCUGCUCUGGGAGUGAAAAGUGACUCACGGUUUUGGUGUCUUCCUACGUAAGAGCUUUUGGUGGGGGGAUUCCUUGGCUUGCUGACAGACAAGGAAGGACGCAGCAGCAGUGAGGUAAAAGAAGAGGAAGGAAAAAAAAAAAAAAAAAAGCAACCCAGUCCUUUCCAACCGCCUUGCCGACGAUGCGCACCCGUUCGGUUUGAUUUGAACAGCUUGCUGCUCUAAAUGGCAUGCGGAAGGAGGAUAAUUAAAAAGGCCAGCAUCACUUACUAAGUGAGUAAACACAAAGCCGUUCCAAACGUGCUCUCCAGCUAAUGAGGAGCUGUGAUUUCUUAUACUUCAAGGCAAAACAAGACAGGGAUGGGGGCUCGCUCAGCCGAGUGUAUGUCUGCAUGGGGAUGUGGAAAUGGGGGGUGGGCAGUGGUCCUUGCUGAUGGAGAUAAAUCGACUAAUUGUUGGUGAUAUUUAAAAAGGGGAUUACUGGAAAAAGACAGUGAGAGGAUGACAGGAAGACAUCUUGGACCAGAGCCAAAAAAUAAUAAUAAUCAAGGCAAAUCAAGUCUGCAAUUCGGAGGAAACACCCAUGACUUGGGAAGCUCCCGAUGGGAACAUGGGAACCCGCUGGAGUUCCAAAGCCGAGUCUGGGAAUAUUGUUGUGGGCACAAGAGGACAAGAUUCAGGAGAGAGUCAUGGCAUGCCGGCUUACACAGCUGUGCCACACACUGAGGAAAAAGAAAACCCAAACCAAAUCCACACCAGACCCAAACAGUGAAAGCCAACAUAUAUCCUUUGCAUUGGAGUCUUUGUGCUGGCUCCAAGUCAUCCCAUCUAUUUAAAGCAAUUCCACAACGUGCCUCCUGCUAGUAGCUGCUAGUCCUCUUGCCUGUCUCCAGAAGCUGCCUCGCUGUUGCAGGGUGAUAGUGGGAAGACGUGGUUGGGAAAAAUCAGUUUUCCAUUGGCUGGGCUUCUGGCAAAUGUGCCAGGUGAUUGUUGUUGCCAUUUGGACCGACCUACGGGAGCUGGUUGGGAAUUCCUCUUCUGGUGUCUCCCAGCUGUGGCUUGAGGUCCUGGUGUUCUUUAAUGAGAUACAAAGACUGGGAGAUGACCAGACUCCACUGGCAGCAGAAAGAGGCCUCCUGCUGCUAUUCCCUAGCACCAAGGACUCAACAAUGACCCUAGUAAAGUCUCUGCACCCUGAUAAGGUCUCUCACUGAAUCUAAAGCCUGUUGAUUUGAGCAGACUGGCUGACUAGGAAGCUCCCAGGAUCUGUGUGUCUAUACCUUUCAAUGCUGGGACUAUAGAUGUUUGGUAUGUCCAGUUUUUUCAAGGAUGUUGGAAAUUUGAACUCAGGUCCUCAUGUUUGUACAGCAAACACUUACUUUACCAAGCCAUCUUCCCAGACUCCAGGGCUCCAUUUAAGUAAAAAGUCUGAAUGGUGCUAAUGGCUAUAGGCUCUGGGAGAUUCACUGCGUGGUAGGAAGCUGCUCUUCAUGGAGAGAAAGGCUGUGAAACAAGAUGCGGGCUCUUUGAUCUUGGUUCUCACAGAGGCUCCCUUGGCCCUUCUGUCCCCUAUGGGGAAUGGGUAGAUACAGUGUUGCUUCAAUGCAAUUGGCAGAAGAGGAUCUGCCUGGCUGUUUCUGGAAACUAGCACUUACUUCUUUAAAGGGUCCACGAGACUAUCUGAACUCACAAGGGAGAGCCAAAGUGCUGGAGGUACCCACAGAAUUCUGGGAAGUGUUACAUGUCAUACCAAGAGAGCACGAACAUUCACUAGUAGCACACUCAAGGAUUCCCAGCACCCUGGGCAUGGCUGAAUGGCUGUAGAAAGACGUGCUAGGGAUUCCUUCAAGUCCUGUUGGUACUCAGCUGUGGAGACUGCUGUGGUCCUUCCUUCUCAAGACCUGGUGUUCGGAGGAACAAGAUUUGAAUAACAGAGGGCUUCUCAGCUACAGACCUUGGAUGGCUGUGUUCCCAGAUGUGACCUUUUCAAGUGAAUUUAGAGCUGUGAACCCAGGAUCAAGAUAAGGAGUCUACGAGUGAAGCCAGGAUCAAGACAAGGAGUCUACAAGUGAUAAACUCUGAAUCCAGGAUCCAGGGUAGUACCCACUGGGGCCUAAGGUGCUGGGUGGACCUGGUUAUGAGCACAGCUUCACCAUACCCCAUUUGGAAGCAGGCUUUAUCCUAGCUGAAAGGAUGUCACAAUGAAUGUUAAUGCCACACCAUUUAUUAGAAAAGCAGGGACACUAUAACUACGUGUCUUCCUUCUAAAUACCCCUGUCUUGAUGAAAGUCUACUUAUUUAGAUUUGACAUUCUUGAAAUAAGCAAUAAAGUGAGGUUUGCCUUCUCACUCUUAAA
This is a long non-coding RNA of Mus musculus (house mouse), 2899 nucleotides long. RefSeq annotates it as predicted gene, 39244. The transcript is spliced from 3 exons. The record is from RefSeq and is marked validated. NCBI's taxonomy places the organism in Eukaryota, Metazoa, Chordata, Mammalia, Rodentia, Muridae.